This 739-nucleotide ribosomal RNA is filed under the name uncultured bacterium. Its description in RNAcentral is "bacterial SSU rRNA". It matches the Rfam family "Bacterial small subunit ribosomal RNA", at positions 45 to 773 of the family's 1533-position model. The record is from RNAcentral.
GGCCUAACACAUGCAAGUCGAGCGGUAGCACAGGAGAGCUUGCUCUCUGGGUGACGAGCGGCGGACGGGUGAGUAAUGUCUGGGAAACUGCCUGAUGGAGGGGGAUAACUACUGGAAACGGUAGCUAAUACCGCAUGACCUCGCAAGAGCAAAGUGGGGGACCUUCGGGCCUCACGCCAUCGGAUGUGCCCAGAUGGGAUUAGCUAGUAGGUGGGGUAAUGGCUCACCUAGGCGACGAUCCCUAGCUGGUCUGAGAGGAUGACCAGCCACACUGGAACUGAGACACGGUCCAGACUCCUACGGGAGGCAGCAGUGGGGAAUAUUGCACAAUGGGCGCAAGCCUGAUGCAGCCAUGCCGCGUGUGUGAAGAAGGCCUUAGGGUUGUAAAGCACUUUCAGCGAGGAGGAAGGGUUCAGUGUUAAUAGCACUGAGCAUUGACGUUACUCGCAGAAGAAGCACCGGCUAACUCCGUGCCAGCAGCCGCGGUAAUACGGAGGGUGCAAGCGUUAAUCGGAAUUACUGGGCGUAAAGCGCACGCAGGCGGUUUGUUAAGUCAGAUGUGAAAUCCCCGAGCUUAACUUGGGAACUGCAUUUGAAACUGGCAAGCUAGAGUCUUGUAGAGGGGGGUAGAAUUCCAGGUGUAGCGGUGAAAUGCGUAGAGAUCUGGAGGAAUACCGGUGGCGAAGGCGGCCCCCUGGACAAAGACUGACGCUCAGGUGCGAAAGCGUGGGGAGCAAAC